UCUAACUGGAUGGCUCAGUUGGUAAAAGCACAAGACUCUUACAUCUCAGGCUCAGGGUUCGAGUCCCAUGUUAGGGAA
Podarcis lilfordi (Lilford's wall lizard) is the source of this 78-nucleotide non-coding RNA. Lineage: Eukaryota; Metazoa; Chordata; Lepidosauria; Squamata; Lacertidae. The record is from the annotation of a GenBank genome assembly.